AUGAACGCUGGCGGCGUGUCUAAGGCAUGCAAGUCGAAUGCCUUGUAGCAAUGCAAGGCAUGGCAAACGGGAGAGUAACACAUUGGUAAUCUACCUCGAGGACGAGCAUAACCCUGCGAAAGCGGGAAUAAUACUCGAUAAUAGUGAGGGGGCAAAAGCCAUUCUCACUUAAAACUCAGGUGCCUCGAGAGGAACCUAUGGCUUAUCAGCUUGUUGGUGAGGUAAUGGCUCACCAAGGCUACGACGAGUAACGGGUGUGAGAGCAUGACCCGUCUCACUGGGACUGAGACACUGCCCAGACUCCUACGGGAGGCUGCAGUCAAGAAUCUUCCUCAAUGGCCGAAAGGCUGAAGGAGCGACGCCGCGUGCAUGAAGAAGCCCUUCGGGGUGUAAAAUGCUUUUAACUGGGACGAAUCAAUGACGGUACCAGUUGAAUAAGGGGCUGCUAACCUCGU
Molecule: ribosomal RNA, 455 nt
Filed under: uncultured bacterium
Lineage: Bacteria
Description: bacterial SSU rRNA
Rfam family: Bacterial small subunit ribosomal RNA
Source: RNAcentral